GGGCGCUUCCCCCAGCGCCCGGCACAGCCCGGACCCAGGUGUAAAGUCGGGCAUCUGCGCAGUAAACAUCUGGCCUCAGAGCUGUCCUCCGCGCCUUGGCUGCCGCAGCCAGGGGAAGGAUAUGCGGAGGGCUCUAAGUCAAAGCGGGCGUUUUUGCGGGUGUAGCCACUGCCGCGCCUGGGCCUGCAGCCCCUCCCUCCCUGUCUCCUGUUAGGAGGGGCAGAUUUUCAGGUGGCCGGGACAGGUGAAGGCAGAGAGGAGUGGCUGUCCACCUGGGGAAGCAUCCCGAAAACAUCACACACAGUGGACCACGCUUUGCCCUCAGAGUGACUGCUCUGACCCGGAAGGAGAGGUCAACGACCCCUCAGGACACAAAGGGUUUCUUAGGUUGUUCUGCACAGUCACAUGGCUUCCAGAACCAGAACGUUCAGCUCUUAAAGUCUGCACAGAAGAACUGAUAGAAUCUGCUCCUUUCAAUGGAAUCUGUGACUGUUUGGGAAGGAUGUGCAUGGAGAAGGGCCUGAUGAGGCUCCUGAUCCAGGCGGUCCAUGUGCGUUCAGUGUGUUCGGACCCUAGGCACCUCUGUCUAUUGCUUGGUCUUGCGUACAUAGUCCAUAGCUUGGCAUCAGCACAAAUCGAUGCUUAGUGAGCACAAUUAAGAAACCAAACUAUGGAAAAUUAAGGACAGUAACAAAAGUAUCAUCAACAAAAAUCAAGCAUUUUCCUCUUUUUGAAACAAGAAAAGCGCAUCGUAGAAACAAAGAUUCUGUACAAUAUUCUAACAUUAUAUGUACAUAAAAUUAUAUUACUCAUAACUAUAUUGAAAAGUCUUAUUUGUAGAAUAUGGCUGGCAACAAAGAAAGACCCAAACCAUUUAGCUUUUGAAGCAGGGCAGGUAGCAAGAGAACAUUAGCAAAGACACCUUUGUGCCUGGAUACACAAUCCUGCUACUAAGUUAUGUGACUAACCAGCACACUCUAAGUUCUGUGGUUUGUUCGUUGUUUCACAUUCUAGUAGGGAAUUCUGCAGCAGGCGAUGCGAAAAAGAAGACAUGGUCAAAUGAAAUGUGAAAUGCUGUUUAAAAUCUGCAUAUUGGCUAUGAUAAUGGGUUUGUGAAUCCAAGUUGCAUUGGAAGUUCACUCAUUCUCCAUUCAUUAUGCAUGCCUCCAGUGAUUUAAUGAAUUUCAGCAGGUGGAAAAGACAGCUUUGAACAGAUCAGAUGGGCUGUGAGUCAGAUUCUUGAUUCUUUUUCCUCAUUUGGCUCCUGAAUGUUGCAGAAAACUGGUUUUGUACAGUGGGGAAGGAGAGAGUGAAGACCCUCCAGUUGGUUCCUCAGUCAGCUCCGUUCUUGGUGUCGCUUUCUUGCAAUUUUUUUCCUCCCCCGGCCCUUCCUGUGAGGGUUAAAAGGGCCAUCUCCAAGCCAGGUGGAGCCCCAAUCCCAUUGACCAAGAGGGCAAGGUAUGGGGUCACCUUCUCAUGGAAGCCCUCUUCCUAACGGAGCCCAAAGGGGACACCUGCAGAGGGGGGGCUGUGAUCUGUGUGUGAACUUCAACAAAAUCUCAGGUUAGUAUUUCUCGAAUUUCAGUUGAACCACGAUGUGGUAUACACUACAAAUGCAGAUUCUGGUGCCCCCUCCAAGAGUCGGCCUCAGUUAAAAAGGGCUCAGAUCCAGGAACCUGUUCUGAACACGCACCCAGGCAAUUCUGAUGCAGGCAAGCCACAGGCCCGCUGUGAAAAAAAACUGACUUAAUACAUCAAGUAUAGAUCUACAAAUUAUUUUUAGAGAGAUUUGAAAAACUGAAGAUUUUAAUGAAACAUUGCAUAGCACAGAUUCUCUUCCCAAAUUUCACCAAUGUAUUCCUUUCAAAAUGUGGAAUUAAAUGGCCAAAACUCUUAGGGAGAUGAAGGUGAGUGGGAAGGAGGGGGUUAAUUUAAAAUCUGUCUGCUUCUCAAGGUGAGGGGCUCUUCUGGAUGUCUGGUCUUGGUGAUGCAAACAAGACCAAUGGCAACCUCAUUUUCUUACCCAGAAUUCCUACUAAGGUUCACUAGAAUUACUUAUGAACUCAGAAAUCAGGGCUGGGCAUGCUGGGAAUUUAUGUCACAGCAUAUAAUUUGGGAUACGUCAGUAACUCUUCACUAUCUGUUUCCAUCAUGGCAAGUUUUCACCUGCUAAGAAUGUGAGGUAUCAGCUCUCCUACUCGCAAAAGCCCUAGUGGAUUACCCAAGGCUACGGUUAUUCUUCCCUGAACCUCCUUGCUAUUUAAAUGAUAUGAGAAUCUAAAACAGUGCCCAGUGUAGGCAGCCUUCUACCACCAGCUAAAAACAUUCCCAGUUCCCACUGAAUCACCACUUUUAAUCACAUGAUGAGGAAAAGAAAUUAACUGCAGAUGGGUGGCAUUUUAUAUUGAUGGCCAUCCAAAAAAUUUAGAAAGACAAGUCUCAGAUGAAGAUCUCCUCCUGGUUCAAAGAUCUCAUUUUAAAUCUAGAAAGACAGCAAUAGGGCAUCCUAAAUUCUACAUAACGGAGAUCUGUUCAAAGCAGCGCAACCACUGCUGCAGAAAUGUACUGAUUCCCUUCUCCGUGGCCGUUUCACCACUUUUGUACCUAUGAAAACUAGCUGCUCCUCCAGGAUCCUUUAAUUUUCUAUGCCUAAACCUUAAUCUUAAUUUCUGUUUUUCUGACUCCAGUGUGCCCUCAAAAGUCACUAAUUAUUUCUAGCCCUGAUUGUUCUCAUCUUCCCUGCUGAAAUUCACACGGGCAAUGGUGAGGGUCAAGGUUAGGGAAAGAACAGUCAAGGUUGAGGUCAGCAGAUGCAGAUAAGUUGAGUCCAAGGGGACAGGCAGCGGGGCGGGAGGGUUAGUAAUUUAAGAAGUCGAUCCCAACUUUGACACUCUUCGAAGUGGCUAUAUCAAUGGCUGUGGCUUUGAUCUCGGUGUCCCCGAACUGCAUAAGGGUCUGGAUCUCCCUCCGGGCGGGCACCGCAGUGCCACUGGUCCCUGUGAGAUCCAGGCGGAGCGUGCCACACUUCUUCACCCCGGGAUCAGUGAUGAAGCUGACGUUGUCAUGCUCAGAGCUGUAGAUGUUGAUGACAAUGACCAGCUGGGAGGGCUUGGCCGGGGUGUAGCUACGCUUGACCAGCUCACCCAGAGCCACAGACUGGUCGGCAGAGAUGAACUUGUCAAAGACGUCAGUGCACCACCGAGUGCCAUCCUUC
Molecule: long non-coding RNA, 3214 nt
Filed under: Pan troglodytes (chimpanzee)
Lineage: Eukaryota; Metazoa; Chordata; Mammalia; Primates; Hominidae
Description: long non-coding RNA NONPTRT001908
Source: RNAcentral